GAUGAACGCUGGCGGCGUGCUUAACACAUGCAAGUCGAACGGAAAGGCCGAAGCUUGCUUCGGUACUCGAGUGGCGAACGGGUGAGUAACACGUGGGUGAUCUGCCCCGUACUUCGGGAUAAGCUUGGGAAACUGGGUCUAAUACCGGAUAUGACGAUCUCUUGGAUGGGGUUGUGGAAAGCUUUUGCGGUAUGGGAUGAGCUCGCGGCCUAUCAGCUUGUUGGUGGGGUAAUGGCCUACCAAGGCGUCGACGGGUAGCCGGCCUGGGAGGGUGUACGGCCACAUUGGGACGGAGAUACGGCCCAGACUCCGACGGGGGGCAGCAGUGGGGAAUAUUGCACAAUGGGCGCAGGCCUGAUGCAGCGACGCCGCGUGGGGGAUGACGGCCUUCGGGUUGUAAACUCCUUUCGCAAUCGACGAAGCCUUUUGGUGACGGUAGGUUGAGAAGAAGCACCGGCUAACUACGUG
RNAcentral lists this ribosomal RNA (468 nucleotides) under uncultured bacterium. RNAcentral's name for it is "partial 16S ribosomal RNA". It matches the Rfam family "Bacterial small subunit ribosomal RNA", at positions 28 to 507 of the family's 1533-position model. The record is from RNAcentral.